UACGGAGGGGGCAAGCGUUAUUCGGAAUUAUUGGGCGUAAAGGGCGCGUAGGCGGCUAGAUGUGUCAAAGGUGAAAUCCCUCGGCUCAACUGAGGAACUGCCUUUGAAACUGUCUGGCUUGAGGCCGGGAGAGGGUAGCGGAAUUCCCAGUGUAGCGGUGAAAUGCGUAGAUAUGCGGAGGAACACCGAUGGCGAAGGCAAUCCCCUGGGCCUGUACUGACGCUCAUGCACGAAAGCGUGGGGAGCAAACAGG
This 253-nucleotide ribosomal RNA is filed under the name uncultured bacterium. RNAcentral's name for it is "partial 16S ribosomal RNA". It matches the Rfam family "Bacterial small subunit ribosomal RNA", at positions 524 to 776 of the family's 1533-position model. The record is from RNAcentral.